GUAAAAAGGCAGAGGUAGUUGCAAGACUUGAGAAAUACUCUUUGAACUUGAUCUAGUUAAUACUAGCGGAGGAAGUCCUAUAAAAUUAUUA
This 91-nucleotide non-coding RNA is filed under the name Spiroplasma clarkii. RNAcentral describes it as "TPP sequence". It matches the Rfam family "TPP riboswitch aptamer (THI element)". From Rfam's summary of the family: Vitamin B(1) in its active form thiamin pyrophosphate (TPP) is an essential coenzyme that is synthesised by coupling of pyrimidine and thiazole moieties in bacteria. The previously detected thiamin-regulatory element, thi box was extended, resulting in a new, highly conserved RNA secondary structure, the THI element, which is widely distributed in eubacteria and also occurs in some archaea. The record is from Rfam by way of RNAcentral. Lineage: Bacteria; Bacillati; Mycoplasmatota; Mollicutes; Entomoplasmatales; Spiroplasmataceae.